GACGGAGGAUGCAAGUGUUAUCCGGAAUCACUGGGCGUAAAGCGUCUGUAGGUUGUUUAAAAAGUCUGCAGUUAAAGGUUGAAGCUUAACUUCAGAAAUGCCGUAGAAACUUUUAAACUAGAGGAUGGUAGGGGUAGAGGGAAUUUCCAGUGGAGCGGUGAAAUGUGUAGAUAUUGGAAAGACCACCGAUGGCGAAGGCACUCUACUGGGCCAUGACUGACACUGAGAGACGAAAGCUAGGGGAGCAAAUGGG
RNAcentral lists this ribosomal RNA (253 nucleotides) under uncultured bacterium. Its description in RNAcentral is "partial 16S ribosomal RNA". It matches the Rfam family "Bacterial small subunit ribosomal RNA", at positions 524 to 776 of the family's 1533-position model. The record is from RNAcentral.